GACGAACGCUGGCGGCGUGCUUAACACAUGCAAGUCGAACGGAAAGGCCCUGCUUUUGUGGGGUGCUCGAGUGGCGAACGGGUGAGUAACACGUGAGUAACCUGCCCUUGACUUUGGGAUAACUUCAGGAAACUGGGGCUAAUACCGGAUAGGAGCUCCUGCUGCAUGGUGGGGGUUGGAAAGUUUCGGCGGUUGGGGAUGGACUCGCGGGUUAUCAGCUUGUGGGUGGGGUAGUGGCUUACCAAGGCUUUGACGGGUAGCCGGCCUGAGAGGGUGACCGGCCACAUUGGGACUGAGAUACGGACCAGACUCCUACGGGAGGCAGCAGUGGGGAAUAUUGCACAAUGGGCGGAAGCCUGAUGCAGCAACGCCGCGCGCGGGAUGACGGCCUUCGGGUUGUAAACCGCUUUCGCCUGUGACGAAGCGUGAGUGACGGUAAUGGGUAAAGAAGCACCGGCUAACUACGUG
RNAcentral lists this ribosomal RNA (468 nucleotides) under uncultured bacterium. Its description in RNAcentral is "partial 16S ribosomal RNA". It matches the Rfam family "Bacterial small subunit ribosomal RNA", at positions 28 to 507 of the family's 1533-position model. The record is from RNAcentral.